This 770-nucleotide ribosomal RNA is filed under the name Bacillus sp. (in: firmicutes). Its description in RNAcentral is "bacterial SSU rRNA". It matches the Rfam family "Bacterial small subunit ribosomal RNA", at positions 64 to 816 of the family's 1533-position model. The record is from RNAcentral. Lineage: Bacteria; Bacillati; Bacillota; Bacilli; Caryophanales; Bacillaceae.
GAGCGGACAGAUGGGAGCUUGCUCCCUGAUGUUAGCGGCGGACGGGUGAGUAACACGUGGGUAACCUGCCUGUAAGACUGGGAUAACUCCGGGAAACCGGGGCUAAUACCGGAUGCUUGUUUGAACCGCAUGGUUCAAACAUAAAAGGUGGCUUCGGCUACCACUUACAGAUGGACCCGCGGCGCAUUAGCUAGUUGGUGAGGUAACGGCUCACCAAGGCAACGAUGCGUAGCCGACCUGAGAGGGUGAUCGGCCACACUGGGACUGAGACACGGCCCAGACUCCUACGGGAGGCAGCAGUAGGGAAUCUUCCGCAAUGGACGAAAGUCUGACGGAGCAACGCCGCGUGAGUGAUGAAGGUUUUCGGAUCGUAAAGCUCUGUUGUUAGGGAAGAACAAGUACCGUUCGAAUAGGGCGGUACCUUGACGGUACCUAACCAGAAAGCCACGGCUAACUACGUGCCAGCAGCCGCGGUAAUACGUAGGUGGCAAGCGUUGUCCGGAAUUAUUGGGCGUAAAGGGCUCGCAGGCGGUUUCUUAAGUCUGAUGUGAAAGCCCCCGGCUCAACCGGGGAGGGUCAUUGGAAACUGGGGAACUUGAGUGCAGAAGAGGAGAGUGGAAUUCCACGUGUAGCGGUGAAAUGCGUAGAGAUGUGGAGGAACACCAGUGGCGAAGGCGACUCUCUGGUCUGUAACUGACGCUGAGGAGCGAAAGCGUGGGGAGCGAACAGGAUUAGAUACCCUGGUAGUCCACGCCGUAUACGAUGAGUGC